UACGAAGGGGGCUAGCGUUGCUCGGAAUUACUGGGCGUAAAGCGCGCGUAGGCGGCUUUGUAAGUCAGAGGUGAAAUCCUGGAGCUUAACUCCAGAACUGCCUUUGAGACUGCAUCGCUUGAAUCGUGGAGAGGUAAGUGGAAUUCCGAGUGUAGAGGUGAAAUUCGUAGAUAUUCGGAAGAACACCAGUGGCGAAGGCGACUUACUGGACACGUAUUGACGCUGAGGUGCGAAAGCCAGGGGAGCAAACGGG
Molecule: ribosomal RNA, 253 nt
Filed under: uncultured bacterium
Lineage: Bacteria
Description: partial 16S ribosomal RNA
Rfam family: Bacterial small subunit ribosomal RNA
Source: RNAcentral